Molecule: non-coding RNA, 464 nt
Filed under: Pongo abelii (Sumatran orangutan)
Lineage: Eukaryota; Metazoa; Chordata; Mammalia; Primates; Hominidae
Source: RNAcentral
GCGUCGGCGCCGCAGGGUCUGGGUGCGGAGCGAUCUGGUGUGGCAGAUGUGGACAGCUGGACCCUCCUGGGUGCCUCUGCAUGAUGUCGUUUGGUUGAUGCGUUUGGAGAGAAUCUGUGCUCUCCAGACCUGCAGGGGCAACCUGCUUUCCUGGCCUCUUAAGAUGAGGGUGGCUGUUCUUGGGUGCUGCACCAAAACUCCAGCAGUGGGCUUUCUUCAAGUGGCAGGCUCACCUCAUUCCUGCCAAGACCCAGGUCCGUGUUCUCACAGUGCUGCCAUCUUUCCUCCGUGUGAGCGUGUGCUGUGCAGAGAGUGGACCUCUGCGUGUGCGGGGCUGCGUGCACUGCCAUCGGCUCCCUCCACACGAGCCGCCGUGGACCCAGGGCUGAGCUGUGACCACGAGGGCCAUCCCGACGAGCCACCGUGGACCCAGGGCUGAGCUGUGACCACGAGGUCCAUCCCGG